AUGCAAGUCGAGCGGUAGCACAGAGAGCUUGCUCUCGGGUGACGAGCGGCGGACGGGUGAGUAAUGUCUGGGAAACUGCCUGAUGGAGGGGGAUAACUACUGGAAACGGUAGCUAAUACCGCAUAACGUCGCAAGACCAAAGUGGGGGACCUUCGGGCCUCAUGCCAUCAGAUGUGCCCAGAUGGGAUUAGCUGGUAGGUGGGGUAACGGCUCACCUAGGCGACGAUCCCUAGCUGGUCUGAGAGGAUGACCAGCCACACUGGAACUGAGACACGGUCCAGACUCCUACGGGAGGCAGCAGUGGGGAAUAUUGCACAAUGGGCGCAAGCCUGAUGCAGCCAUGCCGCGUGUGUGAAGAAGGCCUUCGGGUUGUAAAGCACUUUCAGCGGGGAGGAAGGCGAUAAGGUUAAUAACCUUGUCGAUUGACGUUACCCGCAGAAGAAGCACCGGCUAACUCCGUGCCAGCAGCCGCGGUAAUACGGAGGGUGCAAGCGUUAAUCGGAAUUACUGGGCGUAAAGCGCACGCAGGCGGUCUGUCAAGUCGGAUGUGAAAUCCCCGGGCUCAACCUGGGAACUGCAUUCGAAACUGGCAGGCUAGAGUCUUGUAGAGGGGGGUAGAAUUCCAGGUGUAGCGGUGAAAUGCGUAGAGAUCUGGAGGAAUACCGGUGGCGAAGGCGGCCCCCUGGACAAAGACUGACGCUCAGGUGCGAAAGCGUGGGGAGCAAACAGGAUUAGAUACCCUGGUAGUCCACGCUGUAAACGAUGUCGAUUUGGAGGUUGUGCCCUUGAGGCGUGGCUUCCGGAGCUAACGCGUUAAAUCGACCGCCUGGGGAGUACGGCCGCAAGGUUAAAACUCAAAUGAAUUGACGGGGGCCCGCACAAGCGGUGGAGCAUGUGUUUUAAUUCGAUGCAACGCGAAGAACCUUACCUGGUCUUGACAUCCACAGAACUUUCCAGAGAUGGAUUGGUGCCUUCGGGAACUGUGAGACAGGUGCUGCAUGGCUGUCGUCAGCUCGUGUUGUGAAAUGUUGGGUUAAGUCCCGCAACGAGCGCAACCCUUAUCCUUUGUUGCCAGCGGUUAGGCCGGGAACUCAAAGGAGACUGCCAGUGAUAAACUGGAGGAAGGUGGGGAUGACGUCAAGUCAUCAUGGCCCUUACGACCAGGGCUACACACGUGCUACAAUGGCAUAUACAAAGAGAAGCGACCUCGCGAGAGCAAGCGGACCUCAUAAAGUAUGUCGUAGUCCGGAUUGGAGUCUGCAACUCGACUCCAUGAAGUCGGAAUCGCUAGUAAUCGUAGAUCAGAAUGCUACGGUGAAUACGUUCCCGGGCCUUGUACACACCGCCCGUCACACCAUGGGAGUGGGUUGCAAAAGAAGUAGGUAGCUAA
This 1390-nucleotide ribosomal RNA is filed under the name Klebsiella sp. ICB382. RNAcentral describes it as "bacterial SSU rRNA". It matches the Rfam family "Bacterial small subunit ribosomal RNA". Lineage: Bacteria; Pseudomonadati; Pseudomonadota; Gammaproteobacteria; Enterobacterales; Enterobacteriaceae. The record is from RNAcentral.